GACCGGCGACCUUUCGUUGGAUAGGACUGUUCUUUCAAUACGGGAAAAACUUAAGAAGGCAAGGCUAUAGUUGCAAUUUUAGGUCUACACCGUAGAUUGGUCGUGCACCUGUGCAUGCUUAAACCACCCUUCCGGAAAGUACUUAGCCUUGACUUUGCUAUAGAGCCUCGUUUUCGAGAUUGAGAAAUCGGCUUUAAUUUAAGGUGGAUCUCCACCAGACGAUCGUCAAAACAGUUCGCGAUGACACAUGCGCAAUUGAAAAAAGGUUGGAAGAGCGAUCGUCUAGCGCUCGACGAAAACUAGGAUUGACUUCUACUUUUCUCGAGCGCCAGACGAUCGCCAAAUUUUUAACCAAUAAGAUUCUGCGCCGGCUUUUUUUCUUGCUGCUAGUACAUCUCCACUUCUCUCUAAAUCGUCGCGCUCGUCAUAAAAAUCGUCUCAAAAAUUGUCUAGUGGAGAUCCGCCUUUAGAGCAGAUAUAAAGGUCUUUUGUAAUUUCGUAAAAAUAUGUAACACGAUAAAGGACUCUAAAUAGAAUAUCUCAUAUCACGAAAACGAGGAUCUAUAUAUAGUCAAGGCUGAGUAGUUAUUAGAAGGGUGUAUUGCACGCACUAGACUAUAUCUUAACGCUUUUCCGCAUAUAUUAUCAGGUCAACAAAAGGUCUGUUACCGAGACACAAGUGGCAGUUGGUAACAAAAAGAAAAAACAAAGAAAAAGAAUAUAGCGUAUGCAUGGUGUUGAUUUUGUAUCCAUUGGAAUGCACAAAACGUCCUUGGUAAGCGUUUGUUGCGACCUUUAGGGGCCGAUUACAUGGAGCAUUUUCAACCCCGGGGUUGAACUCAGCCCUGGGUUGAAAAUUUUGUCAUGUAAUCGUUUCAACCCAGGGCUGAAAUUAUCAUGACUUAUUCGAGCAUACGUGGUAGUGACUAUUUAUUACAAGAAAACAAAAUAAAGGCUUUUUCUACUUCCGCGAAUCGAUGCCGAGAACGUAUAGUAUAACGUUUCAACCCCGGGGUUGAAAUCGUCCAUGUAAUCGCAAAAAAUUUGAACUCGGUUAACAGGGCUGAGUUCAACCCCGGGGUUGAAAAUGCUCCAUGUAAUCGGCCCCUUAAUUUGCGAUAGUGAUGCACUGAUAUUUUUGUUUCGGAUUAACUUGUAUUCGUGUAAUAAAUUAAAAAACGUAACAAAGCUAUUUUCAUCAUGUUGGAUGAAAUUCGAGGUAGAAACAGGAAAAUUAUUUGUCGUAUUUAUCCAAAUUAUUUGUCGUAUUUAAAUUAUUUGUCGUAUUUAUCCAACAUGGCCACCUAUAUUUGGCAAUAAAAUGGGAAUAUCGAUGGUCUUGGUUGUAUUCAGCCAGCCACUUAAAUCCCUUUGCUUUGGGGAAGAAAGGAUGACUUUAAAGCAUAUGCAUUCAGAUUUAUAUUAUUAGUUAAUUCAACGGGGGGCAAGGUUAGAAAAGAGUAGCUGGAUGGCAUGGAGAAAAUUGGCUUUUUAAAAACAAUGGAAAGACAACGGAACAUUCUCAUCACUGAAUCGUAACUGCAGCGUGCAUGGGUGACACUUUUGUCGUGCUAAGGUUAUAUGCAGAGGGAUAUUGCUUUAAAUUCUCUUCAUUGGUUUAUAUUAUAUUAGUAGUUCCCCGUGUUUUCAAUUACAGUAGUCAGGGUUAAAGAGAGACAAAAACUCUAUUAGAAUUAAGAACUCUUGUGUGAAAUACACAGGAUUUUUGUAUCCACGCAACACGUAGAUAUAAUGCUAUCGUGCGUGUAAGUGUGUUAGUGUCUGUGUUAAGGCCUUUUCACUUCAAUCGUAUUGUAUCGAAGCGUAGCGUGUUUCUUUGUUUUCUGACCACUAGAGUGGAACUAAUGACUUCGACACAAAAGAAAAUGCUACGAUACGGUCGAAGUGGAAAACUGCUUUUAGCUUGCAGUCAAUCAGCGACAAGUAUUAUUUGUGCUUUACGACAUCUUUCCGGCAUUGCUCGAAAUUACGUAACUGAAGCUACUAAACCCUUUUCCUGCGUUUUAUCCCCUUUUCCGCUUCCGGAAUUCCGCAAUUUACAAUGUUUGAUAACUUGGGUUUUAGUUGACUAUUACAUACAUACAUACUUUAUUGAGC
This is a non-coding RNA of Paramuricea clavata, 2118 nucleotides long. Lineage: Eukaryota; Metazoa; Cnidaria; Anthozoa; Malacalcyonacea; Plexauridae. The record is from the annotation of a GenBank genome assembly.